Long non-coding RNA from Arabidopsis lyrata subsp. lyrata, 1459 nucleotides. RefSeq lists it as uncharacterized. The record is from RefSeq and is a predicted model, not a curated record. The transcript has 2 exons. NCBI's taxonomy places the organism in Eukaryota, Viridiplantae, Streptophyta, Magnoliopsida, Brassicales, Brassicaceae.
UUAGUGUAUUUGAACACUCAUUUUCCUGAUUUUUGUGAUGUUUUCCAAAAUAGUGAUUUGUUGAGACGAGAAAGGUUAGACAUAUAUGGUAAACUUGCAUGGCACUGUAAAUUGUAAAAGUUAGUGUAACAUAUCUUGCAGGUUGUGUCACUUUCAUUUUUGGGGUUUAGACUUUAGACAGAAGUAGUAGUAAUGAAAAAGAUAUUCUACUUGAUAAUGAAGUUAUUUGUUGGGCUGAAUAAUAUGGCCCAUGUAGAUUAAUUGGGCUAAGAAAAACCUAAAAUUAAAUUGUCGCCGCCGGAAGAAACCUAAUUUCUCAGAUGAGUUUCUUUGAGUUUGUGUAUGUAUUUAUAUGGUUUCGUUUCCUGCUAAGUUCGUAGGAUCUUGCUCUUUUUUCAUGUCUGUAUGUUAUAAUUGGUUAUUUUAGGGAUAGGUAUGUGACUAUUUUCGUGUCUGUAUAUGAUAAAAUUGGUGAUUUUUAGGGUUUUUGUGUAAGAGAUUUGUGAUGUGUGGAAGGGGUUACUAUGGUGAUGAUACAAGUGUAUGUGGACUAGAGUUUCAGAUCUGGGAUUCUUCUCCCAGAAGUUGAAGAUUAACCCUUGGCUGUCUGAGUAUUAAUCACCCUUUUGGCCUUUCACACAAAAAUCUCCUCUUUUGUUUGAUUUGAAGAUAAAUUUCUCUGUUUUGAUUGACUUGUAAGCUGAUGAUGAUAAAAGACAAUUAUCUUAGCGGAUUUCAGUGAGGUUCUUGAAUCAAUGAUCUGAAUUUGUUACACACACUGAAGCUUCUUUGUUCUUUUACCAAUGUUUUGGUUUUUGUUUUGUUUGAUUAUUGUUGUGUUUGAUGAUGAUGCAAUGAUGAGAGAAAAGCACGAAGAGUGUGAGAAGAGCAGUGGUUAUACCGUUUUUGUAUUGGCGUCCAUUACCAAUUCUGAAGGAUAAACACAAUUCCUUCAGGUAUAAUGGCUUGUGACGCUAUAUUUGUUGUGGUAUAUCCUGAUCAUCUUGCUUUUUUCAAUGCCUUUUGAUCCUGGAAAUGCCUCGCACAUUAUAAAAUCUCUCCCAAGGUGUUACAUUUGUUCUUUCGUAAACAUGUGUAACUUGAUGAUAUAGUUUUUGGGGUAGAAGUGUUAUCUCGGCGGGCAAGGGGCAGUUGGUGGCAUCAGCUUCUCUAGUAUACCAGUUAACAGUUUUCCUGCUUUUGAAUUCUUGCACUAGCUUCCAUUGAUAGAUAAUGGUUACAUUUUGGUGCUGCAACUCUUGUGGUAGCUAGUACAAGAGUUCAAAAGUAGUGAAGAUGUUAUUUGGAUACCAUAUAGUGGACCAAAGAGGCUGCGAUUAAUUGGUCGAAGGUGUUCCAGUUUGUUUGAGUCUCACUCAUUUUUGGUUUUGUUCUUCUUGUUCCCCUGUUUCUCAUGAAUAUUAUGCAGUCGACAAAAAUAAAAAUAAACUUAAAAUCA